RNAcentral lists this ribosomal RNA (305 nucleotides) under uncultured bacterium. RNAcentral describes it as "bacterial SSU rRNA". It matches the Rfam family "Bacterial small subunit ribosomal RNA", at positions 338 to 641 of the family's 1533-position model. The record is from RNAcentral.
CCUACGGGAGGCAGCAGUGAGGAAUAUUGGUCAAUGGGCGGGAGACUGAACCAGCCAAGCCGCGUGAGGGAUGAAGGUACAGAGGAUCGUAAACCUCUUUUGUCAGGGAACAAAGGCGGGCACGCGUGCCCGGCUGAGUGUACCUGAAGAAAAAGCAUCGGCUAACUCCGUGCCAGCAGCCGCGGUAAUACGGAGGAUGCGAGCGUUAUCCGGAUUUAUUGGGUUUAAAGGGUGCGCAGGCGGUCUGUUAAGUCAGCGGUAAAACUCCGGGGCUCAACCCCGGCCCGCCGGUGAAACUGAUGUUC